UACGUAGGGGGCAAGCGUUGUCCGGAUUUAUUGGGCGUAAAGAGCGUGUAGGCGGCCAGACAGGUCAGCUGUGAAAACUCGAGGCUCAACCUCGAGACGUCGGUUGAAACCGUCUGGCUAGAGUCCGGAAGAGGAGAGUGGAAUUCCCGGUGUAGCGGUGAAAUGCGCAGAUAUCGGGAAGAACACCCGUGGCGAAGGCGGCUCUCUGGGACGGUACUGACGCUGAGACGCGAAAAGCGUGGGGAGCGAACAGG
This 254-nucleotide ribosomal RNA is filed under the name uncultured bacterium. Its description in RNAcentral is "partial 16S ribosomal RNA". It matches the Rfam family "Bacterial small subunit ribosomal RNA", at positions 524 to 776 of the family's 1533-position model. The record is from RNAcentral.